ACAUGAAGCCGGAAUCGCUAGUAAUCGCGGAUCAGAAUGCCGCGGUGAAUACGUUCCCGGGUCUUGUACACACCGCCCGUCACACCAUGGGAGUCGGAAAUGCCCGAAGUCUGUGACCCAACCGUAAGGAGGGAGCAGCCGAAGGCAGGUCGGAUGACUGGGGUGAAGUCGUAACAAGGUAUC
RNAcentral lists this ribosomal RNA (183 nucleotides) under uncultured bacterium. Its description in RNAcentral is "partial 16S ribosomal RNA". It matches the Rfam family "Bacterial small subunit ribosomal RNA", at positions 1318 to 1500 of the family's 1533-position model. The record is from RNAcentral.